CAAACAGAUCUCUCAAAGGGCAGGAUCUUGCUGGUGUGCUUCCAUCUUCUCUGGCGAAACUACCUUACCUUAAGAUAAUUGCUUUCACUUGGAACUAUCUUAGAGGUAACAUACCAUGCGAAUGGGCUUCUAUGCAAUUAGAAUAUCUGUUAUCAGGAUCAAUCCCAAGCUUCUUGGGAAACAUUACCACUCUAAG
This is a long non-coding RNA of Vitis riparia (riverbank grape), 196 nucleotides long. RefSeq lists it as uncharacterized. NCBI's taxonomy places the organism in Eukaryota, Viridiplantae, Streptophyta, Magnoliopsida, Vitales, Vitaceae. The record is from RefSeq and is a predicted model, not a curated record. The transcript has 3 exons.